UGCGAUACGGCCGUAGAGGUGGCAAGUUGUAGCCUUGCUUAUGUGUAGGAUUCUACUCUGUCGUUU
This 66-nucleotide transfer RNA is filed under the name Loripes lacteus. Its description in RNAcentral is "tRNA-Tyr". The record is from RNAcentral. Lineage: Eukaryota; Metazoa; Mollusca; Bivalvia; Lucinida; Lucinidae.